UGGCAUCGGUGAGCUCCAGGGCCGCCAGGACAUGGAGAAAGCCAUGGAAAAUAUGCUGCCUACUCUCGUCCCUUCCUGCAGGAUCUUGGCGUGGCUGCAGAGGGAGAGAUGGGCCCUCUGGGGAGAGGUAGCUCCGGGCCAGCUAGAGUGGCUGCUGACAGAUGGCUUGAUAAUGAUCAAAAGGUGCACCUCCAAGGUCCUCAAAGUCCCGAAGACCUGUUAUUCAGAGAUUUGAGAUUUGCACAAACCCAGCUCAGCGGCAAGUCCUCGCGUAGCUUGGUCAGUCAAGCAGAGAGGAGCCAAAACUUUGGAAAGAAUCAUCUCAGAAAACCAGCUGGAGAGACUGUUGCUUUUUAGGAAUAAGGCUCUGGUCCUUUAUCAUGCUAAACUGGAAGAAUGUUUCUCCUUUCCUAAUAAAGGACACCUCCCCACCCCACUGCUCCUGAUGUUUG
RNAcentral lists this long non-coding RNA (452 nucleotides) under Mustela putorius furo (domestic ferret). RNAcentral describes it as "lncRNA (ENSMPUG00000028063.1)". Lineage: Eukaryota; Metazoa; Chordata; Mammalia; Carnivora; Mustelidae. The record is from RNAcentral.